UCCGUUGAUCAGAUUAAUAGCCCUAGGUUCUCUAUCAAUGUUUUGCAACUCUUGAAAUCGGCUCAGAUGCAGCAUGGAUUGCGGUUUGGCGAUUACGCUCGUUACCGGAGGUACUGUACUGCUCGGCUAAGGAGAUUGUACAAGUUGUUGAAAUUCACGCAUGGCCGCGGUAAAUAUGGUAAAAGGGCGAUUACAGCUUCUAUGGUUACUGAAAUGAGGUAAUAGAUUGCCAAGACCAAUGGUUGAAUUUGAUUGACAUUACAGUUGGUAAAUGUUUUAAU
Coffea arabica (coffee) is the source of this 281-nucleotide non-coding RNA. NCBI's taxonomy places the organism in Eukaryota, Viridiplantae, Streptophyta, Magnoliopsida, Gentianales, Rubiaceae. The record is from RefSeq and is a predicted model, not a curated record.